GACGAACGCUGGCGGCGUGCCUAAUACAUGCAAGUAGAACGCACAGUUUAUACCGUAGCUUGCUACACCAUAGACUGUGAGUUGCGAACGGGUGAGUAACGCGUAGGUAACCUGCCUGGUAGCGGGGGAUAACUAUUGGAAACGAUAGCUAAUACCGCAUAAUAUUGAUUAUUGCAUGAUAAUUGAUUGAAAGAUGCUAUUGCAUCACUACCAGAUGGACCUGCGUUGUAUUAGCUAGUAGGUGAGGUAACGGCUCACCUAGGCGACGAUACAUAGCCGACCUAGGAGGAUGAUCGGCCACAGUGGGAAUACACACCGGCGCAGACUCCGACGGGAAGCAGCAGUAGGGAAUCGUCGGCAAUGGACGAAAGGCUGACCGAGCAACGCCGCGGGGGUGAAGAAGGUUGGCGCAUAGUAAAGUUCUGUUGUAAGAGAACGGGUGUGAGAGUGGAAAGUUCACACUGUGACGGUAUCUUACCAGAAAGGGACGGCUAACUACGUG
RNAcentral lists this ribosomal RNA (502 nucleotides) under uncultured bacterium. RNAcentral's name for it is "partial 16S ribosomal RNA". It matches the Rfam family "Bacterial small subunit ribosomal RNA", at positions 28 to 507 of the family's 1533-position model. The record is from RNAcentral.